This is a long non-coding RNA of Prunus persica (peach), 478 nucleotides long. RefSeq lists it as uncharacterized. The record is from RefSeq and is a predicted model, not a curated record. Lineage: Eukaryota; Viridiplantae; Streptophyta; Magnoliopsida; Rosales; Rosaceae. The transcript is spliced from 2 exons.
UCCAAACAAGAAAUGGGCUCAUUACUCAAUACAGAGAAAAUUUACAAUAUUAGGCCUGCCAUUGUGGCCCAAAUCUGAUCACAAACGGCUAUCGUCGAUCGGCCCUGUUUGCCUCUUCAGAACUUGAAUCCCCAAAUCCAUUCGACAAAAGCAAAAUCCCUAAACCUAAUUCCCAAGACCACGACGUUGCUUGCACUACCGUCGCCGCCGUGAGACCUCCGUCGAAUUCUUAAAGAUGGGGCAAGUCUUACUACCGUGAGUGAGCAUUUACUGUUUACAUGCAAGCCAGAGAGGAAACCAAAUGAUGCGGGCAUUUAUAGUGAAUCACUUAUUGAUGGAUGGCGACUAUUUUAUUUCUUCCCCCUUAAUUUACAACAAUAUAGAUAACAUUUAUCACAACAAUUUGUACACCUCAGAAUUUAUGUGUCCAACAAUUUUCUUAAAACAGCAGCUAAAUAAAAUUUUUAAUUUACACAAA